This 274-nucleotide ribosomal RNA is filed under the name uncultured bacterium. RNAcentral describes it as "partial 16S ribosomal RNA". It matches the Rfam family "Bacterial small subunit ribosomal RNA", at positions 523 to 796 of the family's 1533-position model. The record is from RNAcentral.
AUACGUAGGGUGCAAGCGUUGUUCGGAAUUAUUGGGUGUAAAGCGGAUGUAGGUGGCUUAUUAAGCCAGAUGUGAAAGCCCGGGGCUUAACCCCGGACGUGCAUUUGGAACUGGUAAGCUAGAGUGUGUUAUGGGAGUGCGGAAUUCCUGGUGUAGCGGUGAAAUGCGUAGAUAUCAGGAGGAACAUUCGUGGCGAAGGCGGCGCUCUGGGGCGACACUGACACUGAGAUCCGAAAGCAUGGGUAGCAAACAGGAUUAGAAACCCCUGUAGUCC